Long non-coding RNA from Triticum dicoccoides, 2039 nucleotides. RefSeq lists it as uncharacterized. NCBI's taxonomy places the organism in Eukaryota, Viridiplantae, Streptophyta, Magnoliopsida, Poales, Poaceae. The transcript is spliced from 7 exons. The record is from RefSeq and is a predicted model, not a curated record.
CAAAUACCUCCUGACGCCCUCCUCCCCAUCUCCGAUUCCUCCUCCGCCCGCGAUUCCUUCUCUCCUCGCCGCAUCACCGUCCCCGUGCCCUUCUCCAAACUCCGCCAUCCCCGUCCCGUACUCCCUCCCUUGGAAAAGAUCAAUUGGAGGAGUAAUUCCGGCUUCAUCCGGUGGUGGCGAUGCCGGAAAAGAUCGAUUUUUUUUCGACGGGAGGAGCAAUUCCGGAUUGAUCCGGUGGUGCCGAUGCCGGAUCCUGCGACGGCGCCGACGCGAGCCACCAAGGGCCGUGGACUCCCUCUCCGGCUGCGAUUCCGCCAAACCCUGUCGUCUCGGCGUCCCAGCGACCAUCUCCGAGGCGGAUAAAAUCGUUUCUUUCGGUAGCAGCCCGAGGAGAAGGCCUGGACAAAUCCUCGGAGCAGUAAGCCCGCCGCUCCAGCACCUUUCCUCACCGCCGUCGUCAUCAAGAUCACAAGAGCAGGACUCUUUGGACGGUGCUGAAGAUUGACCGGUUGGAGUCUAUUGAUUUGGGUAUCCAGGAGUAUCCUACUAGUUACACGGAGAAUUGAUUGUCAAGAACUAAUUUGGCGGAUUCACGAGGGAAAUAGGUUUUCUGAAGUUUCUUGGUCCUUACUACAUGGUUCCAAUUACCAGGAGAAGAAAAGUUGGCAGAAUCUGUGGUCAUUAUAUUUUUAUUCAAUUGGAAAGAGUGAAAUGGUUGCAAUAGAAAUCUGCAUUUAAGUCUUCAGCUCUCAUAUUCUUUUUGUGGUUUAUUUAUUUAUACACUCAGAGAGAGGACUGGUUAGCUUAGGCCAUCGGAGUAUCUGUUUGAUUGAUGUGAUGAAUUUCAAUUCUGCCUUGGAGUAUUUAUUUAUUGAGCUUUACCUGUCUUUUUCUCAGGUUCUCUUGGUGGUCGGAAUUUUGCAAGGUGAAGUUGGUCCUAUGAUUUCUGUCAUGAAAAUUGAAAUGACACGUUUGGAGUCUUGUUCGGAUGUCGGUGGUUUACAUGUUCCAAUUCAAGAUAUUAAAGAACCAGUUGAACUUCCCGAGCUAUAUGAGGACAUUGGAUUUAGGCCUCUCAAGGUAGUCAUACUGUAUGGGGAACAGGGAAAGCUCUACUUGCAAAGCACAACAUUCUCCACUGGUAGGCAUUCGUUGACGAGAAGCUUGGCCAAACCCAGUAGGUAUGCGUGGAAUUAUUGAGCUCAGGUUUUUUGGGAUUAAGAUUCUUACACCAAAGGAUCACUAUAUGCCAAGACUUCGAGGAUGAUAAGAGCGGAAGAUUUGGAUUUAAUUGUUAGGCUCGAUGGCUCAAAAUACGACAAGGAAUCAACUGAAAGAGGAACAUGUAUGAAUCGUACGGAAGAACUACUAUAUGCUAUUAAGGCUUUUGCUUUCUGUAGCAACUUCAGAAUCUCUGCUUUUACCCAAGCAUCGACAAGUAGUAUGACAUGUCUUUGUCGCCUCCCACUAAAAAGGGAACUAUUAUCAAGUGCAUCAUUCAUCAUGGACUUGGAUCAAAAGAAAAGUAAAGGUACUCCCUCCGAUCCGAAUUAAUUGACGCAACCUCUAUUCAAGACAAGAGGCUGCGGUGAUUAAUUCAGAUCGGUGGCAGUAUAUUUCUUUCUAGAACAAUUUGCUUGAAUAGAAAUAUUCUUGAGAACGUACCGCGAUUAUGAUGUUAAGGCUACCCCUCAAAUGAAUUUCUCUGUUCUACUUGAAUGAAAAUAGUUCUUGAAACAUAAUGAGAUUUUGAAGCCCUUUAAACAGUCUGCUGCUGGUUAGUUGUUCUGAUCGUCUUCUCUCAUCAUUUUUCUUAUCUGACAACGCAGAAUAAUUCGGUGUCUAAGAAACAUGGCGAUAUUAUAAUAAUCUCUCGGAUCCAUAUGUAUUUCAUUACUAGAUACAUCCGUUUGGCAUAAGUUUCUUUUCAUUCUGAACCUAAUAAUAUCUCCAUGCUUUUAGAGGUUAUUUAGCUAAUACUUCCUCCGUCCGGUAAUACUUGUCAGAGAAAUGGAUGUAUCUAGACAUAUUUUGGCUCA